GGGCAAUCUGCCCUGCACUCUGGGACAAGCCCUGGAAACGGGGUCUAAUACCGGAUACUCACUGCCUUGGGCAUCCUUGGUGGUGGAAAGCUCCGGCGGUGCAGGAUGAGCCCGCGGCCUAUCAGCUAGUUGGUGAGGUAAUGGCUCACCAAGGCGACGACGGGUAGCCGGCCUGAGAGGGCGACCGGCCACACUGGGACUGAGACACGGCCCAGACUCCUACGGGAGGCAGCAGUGGGGAAUAUUGCACAAUGGGCGAAAGCCUGAUGCAGCGACGCCGCGUGAGGGAUGACGGCCUUCGGGUUGUAAACCUCUUUCAGCAGGGAAGAAGCGAGAGUGACGGUACCUGCAGAAGAAGCGCCGGCUAACUACGUGCCAGCAGCCGCGGUAAUACGUAGGGCGCAAGCGUUGUCCNGGAAUUAUUGGGCGUAAAGAGCUCGUAGGCGGCUUGUCACGUCGGUUGUGAAAGCCCGGGGCUUAACCCCGGGUCUGCAGUCGAUACGGGCAGGCUAGAGUUCGGUAGGGGAGAUCGGAAUUCCUGGUGUAGCGGUGAAAUGCGCAGAUAUCAGGAGGAACACCGGUGGCGAAGGCGGAUCUCUGGGCCGAUACUGACGCUGAGGAGCGAAA
This 627-nucleotide ribosomal RNA is filed under the name Streptomyces sp. BBMP10.5. RNAcentral describes it as "bacterial SSU rRNA". It matches the Rfam family "Bacterial small subunit ribosomal RNA", at positions 119 to 758 of the family's 1533-position model. The record is from RNAcentral. Lineage: Bacteria; Bacillati; Actinomycetota; Actinomycetes; Kitasatosporales; Streptomycetaceae.